RNAcentral lists this ribosomal RNA (465 nucleotides) under Vreelandella stevensii. Its description in RNAcentral is "partial 16S ribosomal RNA". It matches the Rfam family "Bacterial small subunit ribosomal RNA", at positions 338 to 795 of the family's 1533-position model. Lineage: Bacteria; Pseudomonadati; Pseudomonadota; Gammaproteobacteria; Oceanospirillales; Halomonadaceae. The record is from RNAcentral.
CCUACGGGGUGCUGCAGUGGGGAAUAUUGGACAAUGGGCGAAAGCCUGAUCCAGCCAUGCCGCGUGUGUGAAGAAGGCCUUCGGGUUGUAAAGCACUUUCAGUGGGGAAGAAAGCCUUGGGGCUAAUACCCUCGAGGAAGGACAUCACCCACAGAAGAAGCACCGGCUAACUCCGUGCCAGCAGCCGCGGUAAUACGGAGGGUGCGAGCGUUAAUCGGAAUUACUGGGCGUAAAGCGCGCGUAGGCGGUCUGAUAAGCCGGUUGUGAAAGCCCCGGGCUCAACCUGGGAACGGCAUCCGGAACUGUCAGGCUAGAGUGCAGGAGAGGAAGGUAGAAUUCCCGGUGUAGCGGUGAAAUGCGUAGAGAUCGGGAGGAAUACCAGUGGCGAAGGCGGCCUUCUGGACUGACACUGACGCUGAGGUGCGAAAGCGUGGGUAGCAAACAGGAUUAGAUACCCCGGUAGUC